This 72-nucleotide transfer RNA is filed under the name Felis catus (domestic cat). It matches the Rfam family "tRNA". Rfam says of the family: Transfer RNA (tRNA) molecules are approximately 80 nucleotides in length. Their secondary structure includes four short double-helical elements and three loops (D, anti-codon, and T loops). The record is from Rfam by way of RNAcentral. Lineage: Eukaryota; Metazoa; Chordata; Mammalia; Carnivora; Felidae. RNAcentral also lists the same sequence under 2 other names.
GCCUGGCUGGCUCAGUUGGUAGAGCAUGCGACUUGUAAUGUCAGGUCAUGAGUUCAAGCCCCACGCUGGGCA